RNAcentral lists this Y RNA (98 nucleotides) under Otolemur garnettii (small-eared galago). RNAcentral describes it as "Y RNA (ENSOGAG00000028762.1)". It matches the Rfam family "Y RNA". From Rfam's summary of the family: Y RNAs are components of the Ro ribonucleoprotein particle (Ro RNP), in association with Ro60 and La proteins. The Y RNAs and Ro60 and La proteins are well conserved, but the function of the Ro RNP is not known. In humans the RNA component can be one of four small RNAs -- hY1, hY3, hY4 and hY5. Lineage: Eukaryota; Metazoa; Chordata; Mammalia; Primates; Galagidae. The record is from Rfam by way of RNAcentral.
AGUCCCAGUGCAGUGGUAUUUACAACUAAUUGUAAACAACCAAUUGCAGAUUCCUUUGUUUCUUCUCCAUUCCCACUGCUUCACUUAAAAAAUUUAGU